This 435-nucleotide ribosomal RNA is filed under the name Triticum aestivum (bread wheat). RNAcentral describes it as "partial small subunit ribosomal RNA". Lineage: Eukaryota; Viridiplantae; Streptophyta; Magnoliopsida; Poales; Poaceae. The record is from RNAcentral.
AUGUCCACCGACGCCGAACGUGCCGCCACCGAGAAAGCUGAAGCCGACAAGAAGGCCGCCGAGGACGCCGCUGCCGCCACCAAAGCCGCGGCCUCUGCAUGGCCUACUGAAGGCACGCUGACACUUUCUUCGUGGCCGCCGCCGUCACGGAACGAGGCCAGGAUCACCAAGAUGGUCGUCCACGGCGGCCAUCUCGUUGUCUACCUCAUCGACGCCGUGCUGAUUCCGACGGAGCCGGAGCCUGGCUUCUCGUUCUGGGACUUUUUGGGGCCUUUCCUACUUCUUGUCGCUGGGCCCCCGGCCUUAAUCUUGUUGUGGCGUGCACUUGUAUAUCUUUGUUCUCUCGUGUGCCGGCUAAGAAGAUGGUGUAAGGAUCGUGCUACUGCCUACAUUUCAGCUGCCCGUGUCACUCCACAUGGUCAACAAGAACAUUAG